CAGCAGCCCGAGUGGUGAUCGUUUUUAUUGGGCCUAAAGCGUCCGUAGCCGGUCUAGUAAAUCCUUGGAUAAAUCGUGCAGCUUAACUGUACGACUCCCGGGGAGACUGCUAGACUUGGGACUGGGAGAGGUCGGAGGUACUCCAGGGGUAGGGGUGAAAUCCUGUAAUCCUUGGGGGACCACCAGUGGCGAAGGCGUCCGACUAGAACGGGUCCGACGGUAAGGGACGAAGCCCUGGGGCGCGAACCGGAUUAGAUACCCGAGUAGUCC
Molecule: ribosomal RNA, 270 nt
Filed under: uncultured archaeon
Lineage: Archaea
Description: partial 16S ribosomal RNA
Rfam family: Archaeal small subunit ribosomal RNA
Source: RNAcentral